AACAAAACAAAAGCAAUACAAAAACAACUCCAUAACCAUAAAAUGAAGAAAUCCAUGCAAACAUGCAAUUACAUGGGGCAAAGUCUUAUUUCUCAGCAGGUAAAAUAGAGAAUUAUGACAGCAAGUAAAUACAGGAUGUAGAUAGAAGUGUAUUUUACAAAAGAUUAUCAAUGGGGUAAAGCCAACCUGUUUCCAGUCCAGUUGUGGAAA
This 210-nucleotide unclassified non-coding RNA is filed under the name Hevea brasiliensis (rubber tree). The record is from RNAcentral. Lineage: Eukaryota; Viridiplantae; Streptophyta; Magnoliopsida; Malpighiales; Euphorbiaceae.